This is a long non-coding RNA of Olea europaea var. sylvestris, 625 nucleotides long. RefSeq lists it as uncharacterized. Lineage: Eukaryota; Viridiplantae; Streptophyta; Magnoliopsida; Lamiales; Oleaceae. The transcript has 2 exons. The record is from RefSeq and is a predicted model, not a curated record.
CUGACAAAAUAAAAAAUAUGUAAUUGUCAGCAAAGUUGUUUCCUUUUUUUCUUCACUUUGAAAUUUUGAUUGAUAUGUUCCACUGCUAACUAAUUUGCAUUUGUAUAUAGUGGCCUUGUUAUUACAUAGACUAACUAUUAUUAACUUGAUAUGACUCCCCAGAGAUGAUCAACUUGAAGCAAUCUCAACAAGGCUUCCAGUUGAUAAGGCUGACCUGAAAAGGUUAUUCCCCAAAUCAUGGUGUGAUCGAUAUGGUGAUAUCGUGAUAGAUGUGGUCAGAAAAGAAUUCAAGCAACAUGUUGGAGAGAUGGGAAAUUCCCGAGUACUAGCCAAGGAGAAGCAAAACUCGAAAAGAUGGACCACAUUUGAUGAUGACGAUGAAAAUUGUCAUCCAAAUCUCUUUGCUUCUAAAGAGCAAGCAACUUUCUCAUCUUCAAAGAUGGUUCGUGCAUCUAUUAAUAAUACUAGCAGUAGUAUUGACAAGGGCUUUAAGUAUAACCCUUUCUUCGAUGUUUAACAUAGUCAUAGAAAACAAGCUGAGACACCUGUAUCAGCUUCCUUCUAGGGUCUCCCAGCCUUUUCUCGUUUCAGUUCAAAUUGUAUUUUUGAGCCUUUUCUCCCAUAA